RNAcentral lists this unclassified non-coding RNA (411 nucleotides) under uncultured Cortinarius. RNAcentral describes it as "sequence contains ITS2". The stretch from base 1 to 154 matches the Rfam family "5.8S ribosomal RNA". The record is from RNAcentral. Lineage: Eukaryota; Fungi; Basidiomycota; Agaricomycetes; Agaricales; Cortinariaceae.
AACUUUCAGCAACGGAUCUCUUGGCUCUCGCAUCGAUGAAGAACGCAGCGAAAUCCGAUAAGUAAUGUGAAUUGCAGAAUUCAGUGAAUCAUCGAAUCUUUGAACGCACCUUGCGCUCCUUGGUAUUCUGAGGAGCAUGCCUGUUUGAGUGUCAUUAAUAUAUCAACCUCUACAACUUUUGUGUGUUGAGUUGUUGGAUGUGGGGGCUCUUGCUGGCUUCUUUCUGAGGUCAGCUCCCGUGAAAUAUAUUAGCGGAACAGUCCUCGUUCAUUGGUGUGCUAACUAUCUACGCUAUUGACGUGUAGUAGUUUGGCUUAUAACGGGCCUUUGACUUGGUCAAAUUUUCAUUACUGUGACCUCAAAUCAGGUAGGAAUACCCGCUGAACUUAAGCAUAUCAAUAAGCGGAGGCU